GCCACCCUAGCUCAGUGGUAGAGCAGCGGUUUCGUAAACCGCAGGUCUGGGGUUCAAAUCCCCAGGGUGGCUCCA
RNAcentral lists this transfer RNA (75 nucleotides) under Deltaproteobacteria bacterium. RNAcentral describes it as "tRNA-Thr". It matches the Rfam family "tRNA". From Rfam's summary of the family: Transfer RNA (tRNA) molecules are approximately 80 nucleotides in length. Their secondary structure includes four short double-helical elements and three loops (D, anti-codon, and T loops). Lineage: Bacteria; Pseudomonadati; Myxococcota; Myxococcia. The record is from RNAcentral.